RNAcentral lists this ribosomal RNA (497 nucleotides) under uncultured bacterium. RNAcentral describes it as "partial 16S ribosomal RNA". It matches the Rfam family "Bacterial small subunit ribosomal RNA", at positions 28 to 507 of the family's 1533-position model. The record is from RNAcentral.
GAUGAACGCUGGCGGCGUGCCUAAUACAUGCAAGUCGAGCGAACGGACGAGAAGCUUGCUUCUCUGAUGUUAGCGGCGGACGGGUGAGUAACACGUGGAUAACCUACCUAUAAGACUGGGAUAACUUCGGGAAACCGGAGCUAAUACCGGAUAAUAUUUUGAACCGCAUGGUUCAAAAGUGAAAGACGGUCUUGCUGUCACUUCUAGAUGGAUCCGCGCUGCAUUAGCUAGUUGGUAAGGUAACGGCUUACCAAGGCAACGAUGCAUAGCCGACCUGAGAGGGUGAUCGUCCACACUGGAUCUGGGACACGGUCCAGACUCCUACGGGAGGCAGCAGUAGGGAAGCUUCCGCAAAGCGCGGAAGCCUGACGGAGCAACGCCGCGUGAGUGAUGAAGGUCUUCGGAUUGUAAAACUCUGUUAUUAGGGAAGAACAUAUGUGUAAGUAACUGUACACAUCUUGACGGUACCUAAUCAGAAAGCCACGGCUAACUACGUG